This 496-nucleotide ribosomal RNA is filed under the name uncultured bacterium. RNAcentral's name for it is "partial 16S ribosomal RNA". It matches the Rfam family "Bacterial small subunit ribosomal RNA", at positions 28 to 506 of the family's 1533-position model. The record is from RNAcentral.
GAUGAACGCUGGCGGCGUGCCUAAUACAUGCAAGUCGAGCGAACGGACGAGAAGCUUGCUUCUCUGAUGUUAGCGGCGGACGGGUGAGUAACACGUGGAUAACCUACCUAUAAGACUGGGAUAACUUCGGGAAACCGGAGCUAAUACCGGAUGAUAUUUUGAACCGCAUGGUUCAAAAGUGAAAGACGGUCUUGCUGUCACUUAUAGAUGGAUCCGCGCUGCAUUAGCUAGUUGGUAAGGUAACGGCUUACCAAGGCAACGAUGCAUAGCCGACCUGAGUGGGGGAUAGGCACACCGGGAACUGAAAAACGGCCCAAACCCCUAGGGGGGGCAGAAGGGGGGAAUCUUCCGCAAUGGGCGAAAGCCUGACGGGGCAACGCCGGGGGGGGAAUGAAGGUUUUGGGAUCGUAAAACUCUGUUAUUAGGGAAAAAAAUAUGUGUAAAAAACUGUGCACAUUUUGACGGUACUAAAGCAGAAAGCCCCGGCUAACUCCGU